CAUAUUAUUAUGAAAGAUAAACCUCAAUAUUUUAUUAUUUCUCGGCCCAAGUUUAUCUUCUACAGCAUUCUAUAGUUCGAGCCCCAUUUACAAUAUAACACAUUUUUAAUAUGGGCUUACAGAAUUAUUUUGUCUAUGUUAAUUUACAGCUAAAUAUAUGUAAAUUCUACAACUGCGGAGUCACUAACUGUUUGUUAUACAUAGCUUCUUAUACAUAUAAUUACAUAGCAAAACAAUUAUGGCACUGGGAAAACUUCUUAAUAAUCCUGCGGCGAAGAAAACAUAGCUUAACCCGAAUUAAAGAGAAACUACUUCCUGAAAAAUUUAAGCAAGACAUGUGAGUUUUCUAAGGAGUAAUAAUUAUUACACAACACAAGCAGUCACACAAUGUGUACACAUAUUAAUCUAGUCAUCCGACUAGUUAUAUGCUCACGCAGCCAGUCACANN
RNAcentral lists this long non-coding RNA (448 nucleotides) under Jatropha curcas. RNAcentral's name for it is "long non-coding RNA (JCUR_LNC001109)". Lineage: Eukaryota; Viridiplantae; Streptophyta; Magnoliopsida; Malpighiales; Euphorbiaceae. The record is from RNAcentral.